AGUUCAGAGAGGAGGAAGUUCCUGUGUGUGUUUCUGACUGAUCUGCAGUGACUUACAGCUCAGAGCACUGAGAGACUCAACAGAGAACUGAACUGAUCUGAUUGAACAUGGACAGAUGUGUCAUACUGAUUCUCAUUGUGGGAACAGGUUUGGUGGCUGGAGACAGCAUUGAGCCAGAUAAAGGGACAGAAAAAAACACUGAAGAAAGAGAAACUGUCAAGCUGAGCUGCUCAUAUAGUACAAAUAGUGAUUAUGUUUAUCUUUACUGGUACAGACAGUAUCCCAACAGAGAACCACAGUAUUUAUUACUCAAAGGUGCCCGAUCAUAUAGUUAUGCACACACCUCUGAUGAUCGGUUUCAGUCGACUACAUCACGUACAUCCACUGAACUCACUAUUACUGAUGUACGUCUGUCAGAUUCAGCUCACUAUUAUUGUGCUCUAAGAGUAGGAGCCCAGUGAUACAAAACAUGAGACAUGUCGUACAAAAACCUGCUCUUGAAAA
Molecule: non-coding RNA, 504 nt
Organism: Labeo rohita (rohu)
Lineage: Eukaryota; Metazoa; Chordata; Actinopteri; Cypriniformes; Cyprinidae
Source: the annotation of a RefSeq genome assembly